GUUUGUGAAUUGUCCGAUUGAAUCCACAUACUACAACUGAAAAAUAUAAUAACCUCGGUCGGUCCAGAGGAUUUUGCCCAGUUACACAACUUGCAAGCACAUCACAUCAUUAUAAAUACAAUCAAACAUUCACACCAAACCCAAAAUGUAGAGAGCUUGCCUUAAGCUAUGCACGUGAAGUCUCCAGAAUAGUAUACUGAGAAAAAUAAGUAUAAACAGAGAAAGAGGUGUUUGAAAGAGGUGUUUCAAUAAUCCUCUAUAUAUGUAUCUAGCUAGGUGAAGCUCGAUGGAGUUUGAUGUUACUGAUGCUACUUUUGAGGAUGAUUUCAUACCGACUGUAAUUUCUUUGAUUAAUCAAGAAAAUUGAUGAACACUGGCCACCAUUAUUAGACGAGAAAAUGCUGGAUAUUUUCAUAACUGCCCAGGAGAAGGGUAGAAGCAGCAAAGACUCAAAAUAUUGGGAUGAAGCUGUAUCUGAGGUUAACCGCCUCAUCGAACAAAACUUUCCUACGGAGAGACCUAGAGAUGAAGCAUCUUUGCGGAAGAGACUGAAACAAUUACGGAGGAACCCCCCUGAGAAUCUAACUAAGAAAAUCGAAGAUCUGUUUAAGUUCCACAAAAUGAUAAUUUCCACCGUACGUCCAGGACCAUACACUCAUAGUUUAGGUAGUGGCCAGUCUUCGGGCCAGUCUUCGGGUGGAUCUUCAGGAGGAGGACCUAUUCGUCGACAUCGCUCGACCACAAAUCCAUCUUUCUCUCUGCCCAAGGUCACAGAAUUCGAUCCUCAGCUUGAUGAGGAGGACCUCGAUAAAGAAUUGUGGACACUUUUGAAAAACAAUGAGGUUCCUUCUUCCAGGCAAGUAUUCAUAAUGUGCCCAAGUAUUCAUAAUGCUUUAAAGGUUUACUGUUUUAUGGUAUAUCUUAGAAUUGAGUUUUGGCUUGUAAGGUGAGGAUUGCCUCUUACUUAUAAACAUUUGUUCAGGCCUUCUCGCAAGCGAUGUGGGACUUCUUUAACAGUAUAUACCAAUUAAUAUGUUUUGGCUUUUAUAUAGUAAUGAAUAAAUGAUGAAGAAGAAGUGAUACCAGAACUUUGUUUGUCCUAAAACACAAGUCCAAAUUAACUUGGUUUUAAUAGAAAUUGCUGCUUAAAUCUGAUGAUACCCUUAUUGUCGGAGUAGUGAGAGAUUUCAGAAUAUUUGCUAUGGUUAGGGAUGAUUGAUUGUAUAACAGUAGUGGAGAGAUUUGAGAAUAUCUGCUAUGGUUUCAUUUUUCUUUAAUUUUUUUCAAUUUUUCCUCUGCAGAUUGAAAAAUCGAAAAAGAAAGCUUUCACCUUAAGGUGAAAGCUUUCAUCAAGAUCAUCAGGUAGUGAAUAUUUUAGAUGUUCCGAAAACAUGAAAGAAAUUGAGGAAAAAGGUAACAACUUGCAGCUUACAUCAGUGUACUAGGAUGCUUGUCAUACAUUUUUUAUUUUAUUUCUAGACUAGAUAUGGCUUAUCUUACUUGCUAAGAAUAUUUUCAGAUUUAAUGAGAAUUGUAUCUUCGAAAAUCCGUUCUUUUGUAACGAAUGGCAGUUUGACUUAUGAUCAAGAGGUGGUUGCUGCCAGACAUUUUGAUGUUAAACGUUUUGAGAUGGAAACUCAUAUUUGGUUAAGCUUUACGAAUACCCAAAAAGUUGAUUAUAUUGAAAGUCCACGUAUGGGGGUUUAGCAUGGGGGGCAGAGUUCUAGACAUAUAUAGGAGUUCAUUGAGUCCACGUAUGGCAGAGGUUUUGAUUUGCACUCAAAGUUGGUUGAAACCCUCUUUCUUUGACAACAAAGACCUUAAGUUGGUUGAAACCCUCUUUCAAAACAUGUCAAUUGGAGCUGGAACAAGUGGGGCAUUUGAGUCUGUACUGCUGGUGGAGCACCUCUAGUAGCUAGACCUUCUAUUUGAUUCCCUUCUAUGGGAUGAAAUCUUUUGAUAUUUUGAAGUCGCAUAUGACUCAAACAGAACAUGCCACUUUUGAACCUCCUAUUUUGAAAUAUAGACUGCUUGUAAGCUUGGCUGCAUGGUGAUUUUCAAUGUUGAUAAAUGCUUGGCUGCUUUGUAAAAUAUGAUCAUGAUUAAUUAAUGUUGUUUACCGAUGUUAUUGUUGAGGAUGAUUUCAUAAUGAUUUUAAUUUCUUUGAUUAAUCAAAAUAAGUUUCCAAGUUUGUAUCUUGAAUAAUAUCAAACAUUUGUUUUGUUUUGAUCUUAAUAUAUUGACAACUUGAAGAACAUAUUUUAUACA
Molecule: RNA transcript, 2268 nt
Organism: Trifolium pratense (red clover)
Lineage: Eukaryota; Viridiplantae; Streptophyta; Magnoliopsida; Fabales; Fabaceae
Exons: 6
Source: RefSeq, a predicted model, not a curated record